CCUACGGGAGGCAGCAGUGGGGAAUAUUGCACAAUGGGCGAAAGCCUGAUGCAGCGACGCCGCGUGAGGGAUGACGGCCUUCGGGUUGUAAACCUCUUUCAGCAGGGAAGAAGCGCAAGUGACGGUACCUGCAGAAGAAGCACCGGCUAACUACGUGCCAGCAGCCGCGGUAAUACGUAGGGUGCGAGCGUUGUCCGGAAUUAUUGGGCGUAAAGAGCUCGUAGGCGGUCUGUCGCGUCGGAUGUGAAAGCCCGGGGCUUAACCCCGGGUCUGCAUUCGAUACGGGCAGACUAGAGUGUGGUAGGGGAGAUCGGAAUUCCUGGUGUAGCGGUGAAAUGCGCAGAUAUCAGGAGGAACACCGGUGGCGAAGGCGGAUCUCUGGGCCAUUACUGACGCUGAGGAGCGAAAGCGUGGGGAGCGAACAGGAUUAGAUACCCUGGUAGUCCACGCCGUAAACGUUGGGAACUAGGUGUUGGCGACAUUCCACGUCGUCGGUGCCGCAGCUAACGCAUUAAGUUCCCCGCCUGGGGAGUACGGCCGCAAGGCUAAAACGUCAAAUGAAUUGACGG
RNAcentral lists this ribosomal RNA (569 nucleotides) under uncultured bacterium. Its description in RNAcentral is "bacterial SSU rRNA". It matches the Rfam family "Bacterial small subunit ribosomal RNA", at positions 338 to 916 of the family's 1533-position model. The record is from RNAcentral.